RNAcentral lists this ribosomal RNA (551 nucleotides) under Georgefischeria riveae. RNAcentral describes it as "LSU rRNA". It matches the Rfam family "Eukaryotic large subunit ribosomal RNA", at positions 90 to 615 of the family's 3401-position model. Lineage: Eukaryota; Fungi; Basidiomycota; Exobasidiomycetes; Georgefischeriales; Georgefischeriaceae. The record is from RNAcentral.
GUAGUGAAGCGGGAAGAGCUCAAAUUUGAAAGCUGACCUUUCGGUCCGCAUUGUAAUCUCGAGAAGCGUUUGCCGCGACGGGCUGCGUACAAGUCCCUUGGAAUAGGGCGUCGUAGAGGGUGAGAAUCCCGUACUUGAUGCAGAUCCACCGUUGCUUUGUGAUACGCUCUCCACGAGUCGAGUUGUUUGGGAAUGCAGCUCAAAAUGGGUGGUAAAUUCCAUCUAAAGCUAAAUAUUGGGGAGAGACCGAUAGCGAACAAGUACCGUGAGGGAAAGAUGAAAAGCACUUUGGAAAGAGAGUUAAACAGUACGUGAAAUUGUCGAAAGGGAAGCGCUUGAAGUCAGUCAUGCUGGUCAGAAUUCAGCCUUGUAUUUCUACUUGGUCUACUUUUUGGCACGCAGGUCAGCAUCGGUUUUGGUUACUGGAUAAGGGUAAGAGGAAGGUAGCAUCUUUCGGGGUGUAUUAUAGCCUCUUACUGGAUACAGCAGCUGGGACCGAGGAACGCAGUGUGCCUUUUUACAAGGUGGGCCUCUCGAGGUACCUUCGCACU